UGGGGAAUAUUGCACAAUGGAGGAAACUCUGAUGCAGCGACGCCGCGUGAGGGAAGAAGGUCUUCGGAUUGUAAACCUCUGUCUUUGGGGACGAUAAUGACGGUACCCAAGGAGGAAGCACCGGCUAACUACGUGCCAGCAGCCGCGGUAAAACGUAGGGUGCAAGCGUUGUCCGGAAUUACUGGGUGUAAAGGGAGCGCAGGCGGAAUGGCAAGUUGGGAGUGAAAACUACGGGCUCAACCCGUAGACUGCUCUCAAAACUGCUGUUCUUGAGUGGUGUAGAGGUAGGCGGAAUUCCCGGUGUAGCGGUGGAAUGCGUAGAUAUCGGGAGGAACACCAGUGGCGAAGGCGGCCUACUGGGCACUAACUGACGCUGAGGCUCGAAAGCAUGGGUAGCAAACA
The sequence is a ribosomal RNA, 402 nucleotides long. It matches the Rfam family "Bacterial small subunit ribosomal RNA", at positions 355 to 774 of the family's 1533-position model.